GACAUGUUAGUUCAAUGGUCAGAAUAUUGUGCUACGGACACAAUGAUAUAAGUUCAAAUCUUGUACAUGUUU
This 72-nucleotide transfer RNA is filed under the name Blastomyces dermatitidis ATCC 26199. Its description in RNAcentral is "tRNA-Arg (ACG) (tRNA-Arg-ACG-2-1)". It matches the Rfam family "tRNA". From Rfam's summary of the family: Transfer RNA (tRNA) molecules are approximately 80 nucleotides in length. Lineage: Eukaryota; Fungi; Ascomycota; Eurotiomycetes; Onygenales; Ajellomycetaceae. The record is from RNAcentral.